Molecule: long non-coding RNA, 10142 nt
Filed under: Homo sapiens (human)
Lineage: Eukaryota; Metazoa; Chordata; Mammalia; Primates; Hominidae
Description: HSALNT0180530
Source: RNAcentral
CUCGUCUUAAUCAAGGAAUCCUGACUUAACCUUAUUCUUUCUCACAGACACAGUUCAAUGCUGCAAUGGAGCCUGUGGUGAGCACUGAUUCAAUAGGUGGUUUGCCUCCUUAGACGCAGAAUCACAGGACUAGAAGGAGUGAAAACAACACUUUAUCUCUACAUUGGCUUCAGGGAGGACAGUGCCCAAACCACCUCAAGUACAGAAUAAUUUACUCUCAUUUAGAAGAUCUCCAGACAGAGCUCGAAUGGCUCCCUUGGCAACAAAUUUUAGUUUUAACAAUCUUUGUAGCUUUAUCCUUCCCUCCAGAUAAUGCCAUAACUGUGUACUCUAGAUUAAACGUUUUCUCCUUUUCUGCCCACAGUGCUUUUGAAGCCAAACAUGAUUUCACAUAUAGUGUUGGGUCAUCAUUAAGUCACCUUUCAGAAGUCCCUCUAAAUUAAGGAGUCCUCAUCCUUUCCUUAAAUUUUUCAUGUGUCCUGACCUAUGAGAAUCUGUUAUACGCAUGUUUAAUUUCUAUGGAAUACCUCAUCAUACAACUUGAAAUUCUGAUUGACUAGUGGUUUUUUUCCUGCAUAAGUGCUACUUCAUCUAUGCCUCAGUAACAAACAACAACAAUCACUUAAUGGAAAUGGUGGCAGGCAGAAUUCUAAGAUAGCUGCCAGAUUCCUGCCGCCCCUGGUGUGCAUUCCUUGAUAAUCACUCUCCUUUGAGUGCAGGCAGACCUGUGUGUAUGAUACCACUGCUAUGAUUACAUUGCUCAUCAGGCGACUGUGAGCUAGCCAAAAUGGAGAAUAUUCUGGUGGGUCUGACCUAGCCAGGUGAGCCCGUUUCUGAGUCAUAGAGAUUGAAAGUGUGAGAGGGAUUUGAUGUGAGGGGGAAUUCUCUGUUGCUGGUUUUGAGUAUAAAAGGGGCCAUAUAAUAAAGACUUGAGAGUGGUCACUAGUUGCUGAGAUCCAUCCCUAAUUGAAGCUAGCAAGAAACACUUCUACCAACAACUUGAAGGAAUUUGGAAAAGAAUCCUUCCCUAGUCAAGUCUCUAGAGGGGAAUGCAGCUAACUGACACCUUGAUUUCAGCCUCGUGAGACCCUGAACAGAGAUAUCAACCACUCAGUUGCCUGGACCUCUGACAGAAAUGAAAGAUAAUAAAUGUCUGUUGUUUUAAGCCACUAAGUUUAUGGAAAUUUGUUACACAGCAAUGGAAAACCAAUAUAGGCCCCUAUCCAUGAGUUACAUUGUAGUAAACACCUUUCCUACAUUAUAGAUAUCUCAUCUAACUCCUACAGCAACCCUUGAGGUAAUCACUGUGUCCAUUGUCAGAGCAAGAAAACUGAAGCUCGGCUUCAUAAACAGAAGCAGCAAGGAUUGAUUCCUUAAAUACUGUGAAUUCCACUCUCACUUUAUUUGAAUUUGUGACAGUGAAAUUCACAGUAUUCUUUAAACAUUUUACCCCCAAGCGAUGCUCUUUCCUCUGAAUUGCUUUGCCUGUCCUAAUAAUUUUAUUUAUACAGGCUGAUGCUGGUGACUUGGGAAUAGUAUUUUUAUCCAAACCAUUUGGCUUCUUAUAGGUAUGAGCCACUGAGGGAGCUAUUUUUUAUUUAAUUGUGCUUUGGAAAAAUCAAACGUAGCCUUGAGUUUUAAAAUUAUUAAGCUUACACUUUUUCACAAAAUAGAAAUGGAGUAAUAUAGCUCUGUCCUUCCGUUUUUUAAAGCCAAAAAAUGUAAGAAUGGAAUGUACUGGCUCACUGCUCCCACGGUGUCCUUACCAGCACAACUUACCCCAUCCCUCCCUAGCCCACUCUUGAGGAUACUUUCUUGCCACUGUCAGGCUUACUCCUGCCUCCUAGACUGAGGAAAGAAAAGCCUCCUGGUUUGGAGCUCAUAAUCAAGUCAGCCUUGCUGCAGGGCUCAUUUUAAGCCAGUAUCCUGGACCAGAUAAGGAAGCUGAAGCUUUGAGAAUUUAAUUUGCUCAAGGGGAGGCCAGGACAAGAAAUAAUGAAGAGUCCGAUGUGGCAGGAAUGUAGGAAACAAGUCAAUGAUGGAAGAUAAAUAUGGAGACGUGAUGAAGGCAAAAUUCUGAAGGGUCUUAGAGCCCAUUAUAAGACGUUUGGUUUUUAUGGUUAGUGAGAAGGAAAACCAUUGGGGGUGGUUGGGCAGAAGAGUAAUAUGACUUGACUUAUAUUAAAAAAAUAAUUUGGUGGCUAGGUUGAGAAUAUAUGUAAGCAGGAGUGGGGUUGGGGGUGAGUGGCUGGGGCUGUUUAUAUCAAGGGUGGAUCCAGGCAGACCAGGCAGGAAGGCAUUGCAAUAAUCCAAGCAAAGGGAGAGGGUGUCUUGGUCACUAAACUGAUGCCAGAUAUGAAUUAGCUAUACUAGAAGAUAGUGAGAGAUGGUACAUAAAAUCAUACACAUUUAUUGCAACUGUAUGUAUUCCUUAAUUACAAUUUACUACAUAUAGACUAAUCUAGAUGAGCGCUUUCUAGGUACUCUUUAGUAAAUUCAUAGUCAACUCAUAAUAAUGAAUAUGGUGGUCAUUUUUUACAAAGCAACUUCCUGUGCAUUACUUUGAAAACAAUCCAAUAAGGUAUAUGUGGCAAAUACUACUCCUGCAAUUUAACAUGAAAAAAACAGACUUGGUGAACUUAGAGCUUGGCUUACCAGUAUAAUAUCAACUAUACGUCCUUUCUCCACUGAACUCAACUUCCUAACUAAGCUUGUGCCAAGGGGCAUUUCAAGAUAAAAAUGAAAAAAGAGGCUACAUCUUCCAGGAUAAAGACUUUGGUCUGAAAGUAACAUGUGCAUUAAAAGUUCAACUUUGAUAAAAGUUACAAAUCACUAUACAGAAGACCUAUUAAAUGAAAUAGACCCCAAAUAAACACAACAAAGGCUUUUCUUUUGUAAGAUGAUUUUAAGUUAAAAUACUGAAGAACCUUUUGAGAAAGUGCUCAGAACAUUUCCUCUGCUCACUGCAGCUGCAAGAAUCAGCACAAACAUCCACAUCCUAUUAGCUUUGAUUUCCAACUCAUGGAAACCCAACCUGUCGGUUUUUCUCUUUUUUCCCAAUACAUAGUGACAUUAACUCAGCCUUUUCUUCAGAAGUCUUCUUUUCUUGGCUGUUAAAUAGAUUAUCACCUCUCUCAUGACAAGGCCAAGAAUCAGGUGAGGCACUCAUCUUGAGCACAAAAUUUAAGGGGGAAAAACUCAAUGAUCAAGACAAUAUUUUAAUGUGAUUUUUAAAAAACCAAAAUCCAUAGAAGAAUAUCACAGGCUAGGCGUGCUUGCUCCUGCCUGUAAUCCCAGCACUUUGGGAGGCUGAGGUGGGCGGAUCACUUUAGGUCAGGAGUUCAAGACCAGCCUGGCCAACACGGCAAAACCCCCAUAUUUAAUAAAUAUACAAAAAUUAGCUGGGUGUGGUGGCAUGCACCUGUAAUCCCAGCUACUCGGGAGGCUGAGGCAGUAGAAUGGCUUGAACCUGAGAGGCGGAGCUUGCAGUGAGCUGAAAUCAGGUCACUGCACUCCAGCCUGGGCAACAGAGUGAAAGUGUGUCAAGAAAGAAAGAAAGAAAGAAGGAAGGAAGGAAGGAAAGAAAGAAAGGGAAAGAGAAAGAAAGAAGAAAGAAAGAGAAAGAAAAAGGAAGAAAGAAGAAAGAAAGAGAAAGAAAAAGAAAGAAAGAGAAAGAAAAAAGAAAGAAGGAAAGAAAGAGAGAGAGGGAGGGAAGGAGGGAAGGAGGGAGGGAGGAAGGAAGGGAGGAAGGGAGGGAGGGCGGAAGGAAGGAAGGGAGGAAGGAGUCACAAUUUUAAAGACAGUGUCAGUGUUACUGAAUAACCUUUUGCCUCAAGUUCCAAUAGGGCUGAGUACAACACUGGAAAGUGAUAUUUCCUUCUGAUGUUUUAUGUUUCAAUAUUCUUUCUGCAUGUAUAUUCAGUAGACGCUAUAGGUAGUUUAUCUCAGGUGAGGCUGAAAUAUAAAGAGAAUAAGAAUGGAGAUAGGGCAAAUCUUGUGUCUUACAGAAUAUAUUGGCCACUCCAUGUUUUUCCUUUAAUAUGUUACAAUUCUCUAAAGCAUCACAAAAUGAAACCUGUCAUCAUCUUAAUCUCUGUUACACAGAGCAAACACCAAGCAGGCAUGACCACGCCCUCCCUACACUGGUAGUUGAGAUGCUGCAAUGCAGCAUAUUAAAAAAUAGUGCUGACUUGUAUGGCACCACUUUGCUUAUGCUCUGAAUGCUGGAAGUAAAUGCUGACUAUCUGGAGAUAAUAAUAAUAUGACUUUUGAAUAAGCAAGGCACAAACAGCAAUUAUACAGUUAACACAAGCUAUGACUGUCAAGCAAUUGUUAUGCUUAGCACAAUUGCUUGAACCAUUAAUUAGAGUACAGCAUUUCCUCUUGAGAUAAUGCUGAUUAAAAUGUACAUACACUCUUCUGGAAGAUAACUUCAGGGUUGACGUGAAAACAGCAAAGACAGAUUUCAAAUAAAUACCUUUGCAACAAAGGUAUUUUGUACAGAGGGGAAUGCUUGUCUCCCUGCCCUGUUGAGAGCUGAUUAUCACAGGGUCAUUUUGUGGUUGGCUGGGCAAGUUUUCCAGAAAGAUAAAAGAGAUGAAGAAUGAGGAUAGGAGUCAACUAAAUUCUUAGCAGCUAACAAACAAUUUUCUUUGGAGUUGACUUUCUCUUUAAUCUUUUGUAAUUGCAGAUACAUAAUUCAAUGUGCUUUUAUAAAAUAUACAUGCCAUUUUCCCUGUAAACAGGUAUGAGAGCUGACCUCAGCAAUUAGCAAAAUCCUCAUACACACUGAUUUAACCGACCCAGUGUGCAUCCAGAAACCACUGCAGCAUGAGUUUGCGGGGACUUUGGGGUCUUUAAAUACUCAUUAAACAUUACAACUAGCUAGGACUCUUUUGGGGGACCAAUGGAGGCGCUUUGCUGAGCUGCUCCCUGAUGUUGUAAAAUGCAAAAAGUGAGUAAGCAGUCACAGUGCACCCUGCUUCCUUAUAGUAUAGGGCCUCGCCCUUCAAACUGUCAUCUGAGGACCAGCAGUAUCAACAUCCCCACAGAGCUUGUUAGAACUGCAGACUUGCAGGCCCUACUCUAGAUCUAUUGCAUCACAAUUUGCAUUUUAACUAGAUCUCCAUGUAAUUAUUAUGCACAUUAUAGUUCAAGAAGUACUGGCCUAAGAACAUUUUGCUCACAAAUCUGGGCUUAGAAAGCCAUCCUUGUGACUGGAGGAAAAUAUCGAAAGAGUGACAUGAUCUGAAACUGGAAACAAAUGCAAAGCAGGUGUGAGCCAUUAGAAAUGCAGCAGCCCUUCAGCUCGGCAAGGAGAUUACAAGGCUGUAUAGUUAAUGGGUAGGUAACUUAGUAAAUAGGAGACUUUGUUGUAGAUAAAAUCAUUGUUAGGUAUUUGGAAAUUAUGAGGAAUAAUAUAUAUAAUGCCCUAGGGGUGAGUAGGGGUGAUUGCUGGAAGUCUCUUACAGACUGAGCAGGUAAGAAGAAGAAAGGAGAAGAAACCUUCUUCUGGUUUUUGUGUUUGUGGCUGCAGACUAUGCCGUGCAAGACUUGGUAAACUGGUCCCUACCGCAGAGGAUUUUAUACAGAGCACGCUAGUGGCUCACAGAAUAUUUCACUGAUUGCCUUGCCCGCUUCUCAAAGGCCCACUUCUCUGUGGAAUGAUGCAGUUGCUAAGAAGAGCUGUUAAUGUCAUGACCUCAAUGAAUAAAAAAGACUUCCUUUUCUCCAUGCCCACUCAAGUAAAAGGCUUCUCUCUGAACUCCUGCUAAUUUUUCAUCAGCAAAGGUGCACAGCCUUUUGGAAGUGAAAUGAUUACUAGUGAAGAAAAAGAAAGAACCUAACACUUAUUUUACAAGCCUCCCAGUGACCACUCUUCAGACAAAACUUCUUAUAAUAGCUUCCUUCCCUGAAUCUUUUGCGAAACAUCAAAUCACAAAGAGAUCUUAUUGUGAGUAUUACCUAAAAUUUUUUCCUGUCUUAUGUAGCAAAGAGGGAAGUCACUGAGUCAGCUUAGAUAUGUGUAUGUGUUCUAAAAAAAAUGAAUGUAUCCAUGUGACUUUUUUUUCUUUUUUUUUUUUUUUUGAGAUGGAGUUUUGCUCUGUCACCCAGGCUGGAGUGCAGUGGCGUGAUCUCUGCUCACUGCAACCUCCACCUCCUGGGUUCAAGUGAUUCUCCUGCCUCAGCUUCCCGAGUAGCCUGCCACCACACGUGGUUAAUUUUGUAUUUUUAGUAGAAAUGGGUUUUCACCAUGUUAGCCAGGCUCGUCUCAAAUUUCUAACCUUCAGUGAUCUGCCUACCUUGGCCUCCCAAAGAGCUGGGAUUACAGGAAUGAGCCACCGCACCUGGCCCCAUGUGACUUUAAUAUUUUACUGCAUAUCUUCCUCGGCAAAUAACUAAAUCCUGUCAUGUGGGAGGGAGUUUGGAAAUAGUGCUUAGGAACCACCCACUAUCUCAUUUGUGAAGUCCGUUGCCACUUGCGGGGGGCGCCAGGCAAUGACAUCAACAGACUUAUCUGGUUAUGUCUUUGAGCCUUGGAUCCUUGUAAUUGUUUUGCUUGAUAAAGCUAUCUUUUGUUAUAAAAGACUUUGCCAAAAAAAAGUCUUUGGCUUAAGGCAUUUAAAUAAUGCAAGCUUCAAAGUUAGUGAACAGAUUAUGAAAAAUGUCUGAAUAGUAAUUUGGAAGGCAAUUUGCACAUAUAUUUCUAUCUGGAAGAAUAAUAGUUUGUAAACGAAAUACAUCUUAGGCCAUAAUUAUAAGUGUCAGAACAUGAAAGGAUUGGUGAAUUGGAGAAACAGAAAUUAAAAAUAAAACUUAAAAAAAUAAGUCAGAAUAUCAUAAUGGUACAAAAUAAAUGAGACAAUAGAAACAUAGACAUUUCCCUAAUUCAUAAUGUAGUUAUUUGUUCUGGAGAUUUGUUCAUUAUUGUAAAAACUAGCUACAUUUAAUCGUUUUAAUUGUUGUUAUGAAAAUACUUUGCUUCAUUUAUUUUAAAUAUAUCCUACUAAAAAAAGAGUAUAUAUAAAAACACAUGUACAAUUUAGAACAUAACGUUAAAACAAACACUUACGUAUUUUCCAACCAGCAAAAGGAAAAGAACCUUAAUGGUGAUCUUGUGUAUUUGUGUCCAGAUGCGUUUUUCUCCCUUUACCUGGGGUAACAAUCAUUGCAUAUUUUGUGUUUAUCAAUUCUUUCCUUUAGAAAUGCUUAUCCAUUUGUGUAUUUAUGCCUAAACAAUAGAUGGUUUCAUUUCGCUUGUUUUGAGCUUUAUUAUAUUUGUUUGUAGUCACCAUGGAUGUAACCUUUUUCCACGCAAAAUUAGCUUUCUAAGAAUCAUCCAUGUUGGUGGAUAUAGCUCUGUGAUAUUCCAUCAUGUGAUACUGCAAGUUAUAACUCUAGUUAUAUAUCUAUUUUCCAAUCAAUGAAUAUUUACAUUGAUCCAAAUUUUCAUUAUUAUGCACAGUCUGGCAAGGAAGACUCAUAUAUGACUCCUGGUACAUGGGUACAAGGAUUCUAUAGGCUAUAUACCUAAUCGUGGAAUUGUUGAGUCUCAGAGUAUUCAAAUGUUCAACUUGACACAUUAUCAUGAAACUGUUCUCCAGAGUGGCUUUCCAAUUUACUCUUCCACCAAAAAUGUGUUCCUAUUGAUCUACAUCUUCUCUAGAACAUCUUAUUUUAGGUAAUUUAAUUUUUUCAUUGUUAUGAAAUGGUAUCUCACUGUCUUAUGCAUUUCUCUGGUUAAUAAUGAGAUUGGUCAUAAAUUCAUAUGUUCAUUGUGAAAUGUCUAUUCUUUUGUUGCCCAUUUCAUCUAUUGGGAUGGCUAUCUUCUAACCGAUUUUACAUAGUUCUAGUGGUUGUUUAUGCAUUCUGGAAACCGGUUCUUUAUUAAUCAUAGGUGUGGCAUUAUGGUUCACAUUGUUACUCUCUUGCUAUACUGUGAUGAACAGAAGUUUUUCAUUUUCAUGAAGUAGACUUAUCAACAUUUUCUUAUGUUUUAGAUGUUUAUUUAGAAACCCUUCUCUACAAACAUUCUAAUAUUUUCUUUUAAAAGUUUUGAAGUUUUGACUUUUACAUUUAAAUUAUUAAUCAAAUUAGAAUUAUCUUCCAUAUACAUGUGAGUCCUCAAUUCUUGCUCCAUUAAACAAUUUAUCCUUCCUCGCAUCAGUAUCUUCCCACCUUAAUUGCUAUUGGAUUAUAAUAACUCUUGAUAUUUGGUGUGCCAAAUUCCCCCAACAUAUUAAUCCUUUCGGAUAUUCUAUUCUCAGCCCUUUAUUUUUCCAUAUGAAACUCAGAAUCAUGAAGUUUAUUUAAAAUUCUGCUAGGAUUUUGAUAAAAAUUUCCAUAAAAAACUUUUCAGUUUGACAUUGUUAGGACUGAGUUUUCUUAUCCAUGAAUGUGAAAUAUCUGUGUUAUUUUAUCUGCAAAAUAAAGAUAAAGAAAUAUCUUUAUUAUUGUUUAAUGUUUUUAUGAAAAGUUCAUGAUUUUUUAUCUAGAGGUAUCACACAUCUUUUUUUAGAUAUAUUCUAGGAUACUUUUUAGUUUUGUUGCUUUUGUAAGUGUUGUCAUGUUGGGAGUCUCUGAGAACCUCCUCAAGCUUGAUGACCCACUAGAAGGACUCUCAGGACUUAGAAGUGGUUAUAUUGAUGGUCACAGUUUAUUAUAACAAAAAGACACAGAUAACAAUAAACAAAGAGAAAAGGCACAUGGGGUGAAGUUCAGGAGAAAUAAGGCACAAGCCUUCAGGUAUUCCCCUCCCAGGAGUAAAUAUGCUAACUGAAGCACACAAAAAAAGAAAAGAUAAAUGCAAAAAAGAGCAUAAAAUAUAUAUGACAUAGUUUUAAAAAUGUGUAACAUGCAUGUAAUUGAAGUAUCAGAAAGAAUGGAGACAAGGAAUAGGGGAAGAAGGAAUAUUUGAAGAGAUAAUAACCAAAAACUUUCUAAAACUAACCCACAAAAUCAAGAAAUUCUGAAGAAACUAGAAAAGAUACAUGCAAAAUAAAUCCCAUUUUGGCUCAUAGUGAACUCCUGAAAGCCAAGGACAAGGACCAAUUACUUAAAGCACCCAAAAAAAAACAACAUUGCUUUCAUAAUAGCAAUAAAAGACUAAUAACUGAAUUUUCUACACAAAUGAUGGAAGCUGGAAGAUAUAAAGAUCAUAAGGAUAUAUUCUAUUCCUGGAAUUGAUGUGCCUUGGUCAUAAUGUCUUUUUUAAAAUACAAAGUUGUAAUCAGGUUUCUAAAUAGUUUAAGAUUUUUGCAUCUAAUUGUUUGGAAAGUUCCCCCUUUUUUAUACUCAUAUCUGCAUUAGCUAUCAAGGCUAAAAAUGACUGCUUUAAAAGAGUUAAGGAAAGUUUCCUCUUUGUUAUACCUAUGAAAAAGUUUAUAUACAAUUAAAAUUUGAUGAUAACAUUUGUUAUAUUUUCUUAUAGAACUAUUUGUAUUUGGUGUUCUAUUUAUGAGGAGGCUUUUAAAAUAUUGAUUUGACUUCUUUAGUAGUUGUAGGGCACUGAAGUUUUCUGGUACUCUAACUGCAGCCCACGUAACUUAUCUUAUAUUCUCAUUAUCAUUUAGUUCUAAGUAUUUUUUUACUUUCUAUUAUAAAGUAUUCUUUGACCUAGGAGGUAUUUAGAAGUUUGCUUUUAAACUGUCAAAUGUAUGAAAUUGUCUUAAUUUUCCUUUUAUUACUAAUAGCUACAUUAUUUUCCUUCUUGUGAGAGAAGGUAGUCUGUGGUACUUUUGGAAAUAUUUAAAGACUUUUUGGCCUAGUAUGUGAUAAAUUUGUGAAAAUGUUCCUUGCAUGUCAAAAAGAAUUAUCCAGAAUUAUCCAAUAAUUGGAUAAAUGUUCUUAAUAUGUUUAUUAGGACAUUCAUGUUCAUUGUGUUUACAAUUUCUAUAACAUUGCUAGUUUUGAUCUGCUUUUCAUGUCAAUACCUGAGAUAGGUCUGUUUAAAUUUCUUACUAUAAUGGUAGAUUUGUUACAAUUUCAUUGUAGCCUGUACAUUUUUGCUUUAUAUAUGCUGAAUAAAUGUUAAUAUGUGCCCAUAUAAGCUUAAACAUUAUAAUUACUUUAUCUUCCUGGAAAAUUGUAAUUUUCAUCAAUAUGUGCUCACCCCCUUUUUAUCUGGUAACUAUUUUGACCUU